Molecule: ribosomal RNA, 253 nt
Filed under: uncultured bacterium
Lineage: Bacteria
Description: partial 16S ribosomal RNA
Rfam family: Bacterial small subunit ribosomal RNA
Source: RNAcentral
UACGUAGGUGGCAAGCGUUGUUCGGAAUUAUUGGGCGUAAAGGGCGCGUAGGCGGCUUGUUAAGUCGGUUGUGAAAGCCCGGGGCUCAACCCCGGAGAGUCGACCGAUACUGGCGAGCUAGAGUACGGAAGAGGUAGCUGGAAUUCCCGGUGUAGCGGUGGAAUGCGUAGAUAUCGGGAGGAACACCUGAGGCGAAGACGGCAUCCGGGACCAACACUGACGCUGAGGAGCGAAAGCCAGGGGAGCAAACGGG